GGGGGCGAAAGGUUUUCGACCGGGCAGGUUGAGGUUCGAGCGGCGUGUCGAGGUCGCCGGGUGGCCUCGUUAAACCCCUGGCAAACUGUUAGAUGCCAACAACGGCAUGCGUUUGGCUGCCUAACUAAGGCAACCCGUCGGCCGGCAACGCCUGCUAGCCGUUACCGACGAUGACAGCAGGCUGGCCCGCGAGUUCCCGUCUGGCGGCGCGCGGGCAAGAAAUUAGCCGGGCUGGGCAAGCGGAUGACCCGUCGGCCGGUCUGCCGUAAGCCGAGAUUAAAUCGGCCGGACACACACGUAGAUGCUCGUUCUGAAAUGCUUCGGGACGGGGGUUCGACUCCCCCCGCCUCCAA
RNAcentral lists this transfer-messenger RNA (353 nucleotides) under Phycisphaerales bacterium. It matches the Rfam family "transfer-messenger RNA". Rfam says of the family: Bacterial tmRNA, also known as 10Sa RNA or SsrA, is named for its dual tRNA and mRNA-like properties. Its role is to liberate the mRNA from a stalled ribosome. The record is from RNAcentral. Lineage: Bacteria; Pseudomonadati; Planctomycetota; Phycisphaerae; Phycisphaerales.